This 2962-nucleotide long non-coding RNA is filed under the name Mus musculus (house mouse). RNAcentral describes it as "long non-coding RNA chr3:138534111-138537073". Lineage: Eukaryota; Metazoa; Chordata; Mammalia; Rodentia; Muridae. The record is from RNAcentral.
UUUUUUUUUUUUUUUUUUUGGGAGGGGGAGACAACAGGGUUUCUCUGUAUAGCCCUGGCUGUCCUGGAACUCACUCUGUAGACCAGGCUGGCCUCGAACUCAGAAAUCCGCCUGCCCCUGCCUCCCAAGUGCUGGGAUUAAAGGCGUGCGCCACCACGCCCGCCCCAUCUCAAUAUUUUUAAAUGCGUUAUAUAAAAUGCACAUAGUUACAGGAAAAAAAAUAUUUCGAUGUAUAAGUUGCUGUAAAAUGCCUAGUCCUGGCCUUAUUUCUGUAAUUGAGACAAAGUCUCACUGUAUCUCUGACUGACCCAAAACUCGAGAUCCACCUGCCUUUGCCUCUUGAGUGCUAAGAUUAAAAGUGUGUGGAAGAUUAAAAUUAUCAUUUAGUGUUGUAUGAAAAUGAUAUUCUCUGAGUUAAUAUUUUUCUUCUCUUUUUAACCAAAUGGGCAGUUAAAAAUCCAGAUUUUGUACAGGGUUGUACAACUAUUUAGGAUUUCAAAUGUUGCUGUGAUGAAUGUAUGGGGUUUUAUGUAAAGUACGUGUUUUAACAACAAAUUGAAAAGUUAAAAUGUUGCUGGUUAAGUCAACGAUGUGAUAGUUGGUUGUUACCUAAAAUCACUCAGCUCUCCUUUAAAAAGUUAACGCUUCACAUGGAUGAAGGGCUAGAGAGGUGGCUCAGAGCUUAAGAGCACUUGCUCUUUUUCAGAGGACCUGGAUGUGGUUCCAAGCAUGGCAGCUCACAACAGUUUCAGGGUAUACAACACCUGCUCUCCACAGGCACCACACACUCAUGUGGUACACACACCUGUGUGUGUGUUUGUGUAUGUGUGUGCAUGCAAAGUGUUUAUGCACAUAUUAAUGGAAUUUGUAUAAGUGCCUAUCACUAAGGAAAUUAUGUUUAAUCUAUUGUCAUAUUCUAACACUUUUUAAAGGAAGGCCUUUAUUUAAAGGAAGGUUUUUAUUAUUUAUUCAUGUGAAUGUUUGUGUAUAUAUGUGUGGGUGCCAGAGGAGGCCAGACAAAGGCAUCCGAUCCCCUGUGGCUGGACUUACAGGUCAGGUUGUGAGCCACCGUGUGUGUGUGUGUGUGUGUGUGUGUGUGUGUGUGUGUGUGUGUGGUGUGUGUGUGUGUGCGCGCGCUGGGAAUUGAACCCGGAUCUUCUGGAAGAAUAGCAACUGCUCUUGCCUCCUGAGCCACUUCUCUGACCUCAUAGUCUUACUUUUUGUCUACCUACUAUCUUGACUAGUGACGAUGGUUCCUCUUCUCUUGCUGCAGAGUUUUAUUAAAAAAUAAUGAAUCUUUAUACAAUGUUUUGAUCAUGUUUUUCCCCUCUUCUGACUCCUUGAAGAUUCUCCCUACUUUCCUGCCCACACUACAUGUCUUUCCUCUUUCAAAAACUCCUACUAAAAUGAAAAUCAAAACAAGCAGAAGACUGACCUAUAAAACAAACAGACAAAAAUGCCCAAAAAAAGCACAACAAAACAAAAAUUCGUGAAAAUUCCACUGACUUUGUUUUUGUGUUGGCCACUUAUUCCUGGGUGUGGGGCCUGCCCUGGAGUGAGAGAGAGAGAGAGAGAGAGAGAGUGUGUGUGUGUGUGUGUGUGUGUGUGUGUGUGUGUGUUCUCCAUCCGUCCUUGACAUUCAUUUGGAGAAAAAGGAUUUUCCCAUUGCCGACUGGUAUCGAUUGCAGAUAGCUUCUUGGUUAGUAGUAAGAGCCAGUGUCUGCUUCUCCAUCUUAGUGCUGGGGCACCCUGUCUAGCUUGAACCUGUGCAGGCCUAGUACUCGCUGCCACAGUCUUUGUGGGUUCAUAUGUGCGUCGAUCCUGCCGAAGACACUCUUCACCUCUGGCUCUUACAGUUUUUCUGCCUCUUCCACAUAGAUCCCUGAGCCCUUAAUGAAGGAAGGAUUUAAUGAAGAAAUCCCAUCCAGGAUUCUGCAGAUUGUCCAGUUGUGGGUCUCUGUUAAUUCUCUGAUAUGGGUUGAGUGAGGUACUAAUCUUGAUAGCAUGCAGCGUACCUUCCUGUACCCUGAUGCUGGUCAGUGCACCUGCUGGACUUUGUGUUCAGUGACUUCCAAGUGCUGUCUUCAGCAAUAGAGCAAUCAGGUGUGGAGAGCAACCAAGGAGAGCCUUGGCAAUAGCCUGCGAUAUUUGGAGUGGGGGUUGGGUGUCUUUAGGAUCCCUUUGGCCAGUGGCUCAACAAGAUGUAACCCAUUCCUGUCACUGGAGGUUUUAUUUGUUGAAGUAAGAUCUAUUUUAGGCAUUGUCUCCCUAUUUUAUUCCUCUUCCCUUUGGAGGGAAGGGGUUUCAAGUCCCUGGCUGUUCUGGAAUUUUCUUUGUAGCCCAGCCAGGCCUCAACUUAGAGAUCUGCCUGUUUCUGCCUUCUGUGUUCUGGGAUUAAAGCUAUAUGCUACCACUGGAGAGGUGGCUCAGUGGUUAAGAGCACUGACUGCUCUUCCAGAGAUCCUGAGUUCAAUUCCCAGCAACCACAUGGUGUCUCACAACCAUCAGUAAUGGAAUCUGAUGCCCUCUUCUGGUGUGUCUGAAGACAACUAUAGUGUACUCACAUAAAAUAAAUAAUUCUUUUUUAAGAAAGGUAUAUGCUACCACUGUCCAGUCCCUUAGUUUUUUAUAUAUAUAUACUAAAUUCCAUACUACAUAUCUUUCUGCUUUUUAAAAUACUAAUAAAAUGGAAUUGAGUCUAGGGUACUUGUUGAGUAGGCAAGUGGUCUACCACUAAGUUCUGAUUUAUUCUGAAACAGGGUAUGUGAUACCUCAGUCUGGCCUUGAACUCACUCUAGCCUAGGCAGGCCUUAAACUUGACAUUUUUUAGUUUCUGGAAUUACAGGCCUGUAAACCAGGCCUGACUUAGUUGUUUAGCUCUGGGGAUAAAAACCAAAACCCUGAAAAACUACAUGGUGUACAAGGAAAAGAUACUGCUGCCAUUGUUGGGUGGAAGUUCUGA